GUGCCAGCCGCCGCGGUAAUUCCAGCUCCAGUAGUGCAUAUACAUGCUGUAGUUAGAAAGUUUGUAGCCGUGUUAUAGUCCUGUUUGGAAACGAGGGUUCUUAAGAUCUUCUCUAACUUACAGUAGACGUAACAUUAAGGAGCGGAUGGAGGUAAUUGUAUUUGGCAGCGAGAGGUGAAAAUUGAAGACCUGCCGAGGACAACCAGUAGCGAAAGCGAUUACCUAGUACGCGUCUGAUGGUCAAGAACGUUAGCCGGAGGAUCAAAGAUGAUUAGAUACCGUUGUAGUUCCGGCCGUAAACGAUGCCUACUUAUAGUGUCAGUGCGCUGAUGCAAUAUAGAGAAAUUAAGAGUGUAUGGGCUCUAGGGAUAGUAAUCCGGCAACGGACAAACUUAAAGAAAUUGGCGGAAGGACACCACAAGGAGUGGAGCACGCGGUUCAAUUUGACUCAACCCGGGACAACUUACCAGGGCCGGUGCACGCGAGAAUGCCGCA
RNAcentral lists this ribosomal RNA (495 nucleotides) under Berwaldia daphniae. Its description in RNAcentral is "SSU rRNA". It matches the Rfam family "Microsporidia small subunit ribosomal RNA", at positions 390 to 883 of the family's 1311-position model. The record is from RNAcentral. Lineage: Eukaryota; Fungi; Microsporidia; Amblyosporidae.